Molecule: RNA transcript, 677 nt
Organism: Python bivittatus (Burmese python)
Lineage: Eukaryota; Metazoa; Chordata; Lepidosauria; Squamata; Pythonidae
Gene: TOMM6
Gene name: translocase of outer mitochondrial membrane 6
Source: RefSeq, a predicted model, not a curated record
UGACGUUUUCUUUGCCCGCCAGGGAGGGACAUUUCCUCCACUUCAGAGAACUCGUGCGCGUCUCUGCAAGGAGUCCGGAGGCUUAGCCAUGGCGCCGGGCGGUCAGAUGGGGCCUGCUGGCGGGAGCUCCGGCGCGGUUACCCCUGAAGGCCUGCGCGGCUGGAUCCGAGGAGCUUACCGCUUUGCCACGGACCGCAACGACUUUCGCAGAAACCUCAUAGUUAAUCUGGGACUCUUUGCAGUGGGUGUCUGGGUAGCCAGAAACUUAACAGACAUUGAUUUGAUGGCACCACAACCUGUUGCAUAGCAGAGGGAAAAUUCUACUUGCAAGCCAGAGCACCUUGGACCAGCUUCAGCCUGCUCCUCCAGUGGGCUGGCAAUGAGAUGGAGGCUCUGCUCUAAGGGUAUAUCCUCAGCAAAUGAUUUUACAAAUCUGAACUUCCCUCCCCUGUAUGAGAGAAAAAGCAAGAAGAAUUGGAGAAAACAGAGGCAAUAUUUUACCUGUACAUCAUUCUUCAUUACGCUCAAUUCAUUCUUUGGCGGCAUUAGGUUUUAUACUCAAUAGUAAUAGACCACCAUUUCUGUUUUUGCUAAAAGGUUUUUGAUAUGUACAUUAUUUUACAGAAUUUAACUGUUAGAGUCUGACCUGAAAUGUGAAAUAAAGACAUGCCAGUGCA